CGUAGGGGGCCAGCGUUGUCCGGACUUACUGGGCGUAAAGCGCGCGCAGGUGGACGAGUAUGUGCCGUGUAAAAGCGCCGUCCUUACGAUGGUGGGGUCAUGGUAGACAGCUUGUCUAGAGGCUCAGAGAGGUUGAUGGAAUUCCGGGUGGAGCGGUGAAAUGCGUAGAUAUCCGGAGGAACACCAGGGGCGAAAGCGGUCAACUGGCUGAGUUCUGACACUGAGGCGCGACGGCGUGGGGAGCAAACCGGAUUAGAUACCCGGGUAGUCCACGCCGUAAACGAUGCACACCCGGUGUGGGGGCAGGAUUUCCUCCUGUCUCCGUGCCAAAGGUUACCUGAUGAGUGUGCCGCCUGGGGACUACGAGCGCAAGCUUA
Molecule: ribosomal RNA, 377 nt
Filed under: uncultured organism
Description: bacterial SSU rRNA
Rfam family: Bacterial small subunit ribosomal RNA
Source: RNAcentral